This 1125-nucleotide ribosomal RNA is filed under the name Acinetobacter gandensis. RNAcentral describes it as "bacterial SSU rRNA". It matches the Rfam family "Bacterial small subunit ribosomal RNA", at positions 339 to 1457 of the family's 1533-position model. Lineage: Bacteria; Pseudomonadati; Pseudomonadota; Gammaproteobacteria; Moraxellales; Moraxellaceae. The record is from RNAcentral.
CUACGGGAGGCAGCAGUGGGAAUAUUGGACAAUGGGGGCAACCCUGAUCCAGCCAUGCCGCGUGUGGAAGAAGGCCUUUUGGUUGUAAAGCACUUUAAGCGAGGAGGAGGAGCUCUAGAUUAAUACUCUAGAUGCUUGGACGUUACUCGCAGAAUAAGCACCGGCUAACUCUGUGCCAGCAGCCGCGGUAAUACAGAGGGUGCGAGCGUUAAUCGGAUUUACUGGGCGUAAAGCGUACGUAGGCGGCUUUUUAAGUCGGAUGUGAAAUCCCUGAGCUUAACUUAGGAAUUGCAUUCGAUACUGGGAAGCUAGAGUAUGGGAGAGGAUGGUAGAAUUCCAGGUGUAGCGGUGAAAUGCGUAGAGAUCUGGAGGAAUACCGAUGGCGAAGGCAGCCAUCUGGCCUAAUACUGACGCUGAGGUACGAAAGCAUGGGGAGCAAACAGGAUUAGAUACCCUGGUAGUCCAUGCCGUAAACGAUGUCUACUAGCCGUUGGGGCCUUUGAGGCUUUAGUGGCGCAGCUAACGCGAUAAGUAGACCGCCUGGGGAGUACGGUCGCAAGACUAAAACUCAAAUGAAUUGACGGGGGCCCGCACAAGCGGUGGAGCAUGUGGUUUAAUUCGAUGCAACGCGAAGAACCUUACCUGGUCUUGACAUAGUAAGAACUUUCCAGAGAUGGAUUGGUGCCUUCGGGAACUUACAUACAGGUGCUGCAUGGCUGUCGUCAGCUCGUGUCGUGAGAUGUUGGGUUAAGUCCCGCAACGAGCGCAACCCUUUUCCUUAUUUGCCAGCGGGUUAAGCCGGGAACUUUAAGGAUACUGCCAGUGACAAACUGGAGGAAGGCGGGGACGACGUCAAGUCAUCAUGGCCCUUACGACCAGGGCUACACACGUGCUACAAUGGUCGGUACAAAGGGUUGCUACUCCGCGAGGAGAUGCUAAUCUCAAAAAGCCGAUCGUAGUCCGGAUCGCAGUCUGCAACUCGACUGCGUGAAGUCGGAAUCGCUAGUAAUCGCGGAUCAGAAUGCCGCGGUGAAUACGUUCCCGGGCCUUGUACACACCGCCCGUCACACCAUGGGAGUUUGUUGCACCAGAAGUAGGUAGUCUAACCGUAAGGAGGACGCUUAC